Molecule: ribosomal RNA, 492 nt
Filed under: uncultured bacterium
Lineage: Bacteria
Description: partial 16S ribosomal RNA
Rfam family: Bacterial small subunit ribosomal RNA
Source: RNAcentral
AGUGAACGCUGGCGGUAGGCCUAACACAUGCAAGUCGAACGGCAGCACAGUAAGAGCUUGCUCUUACGGGUGGCGAGUGGCGGACGGGUGAGGAAUACAUCGGAAUCUACUUUUUCGUGGGGGAUAACGUAGGGAAACUUACGCUAAUACCGCAUACGACCUACGGGUGAAAGCAGGGGAUCUUCGGACCUUGCGCGAUUGAAUGAGCCGAUGUCGGAUUAGCUAGUUGGCGGGGUAAAGGCCCACCAAGGCGACGAUCCGUAGCUGGUCUGAGAGGAGGAUCAGCCACACGGGAACUGAGACACGGUCCAGACUCCUGCGGGAGGCAGCAGUGGGGAAUAUUGGACAAUGGGCGCAAGCCUGAUACAGCCAUACCGCGUGGGUGAAGAAGGCCUUCGGGUUGUAAAGCCAUUUUGUUGGGAAAGAAAAGCAGCAGGUUAAUACCCCGCUGUUCUGACGGUACCCAAAGAAUAAGCACCGGCUAACUUCGUG